Non-coding RNA from Hordeum vulgare subsp. vulgare (domesticated barley), 128 nucleotides. Lineage: Eukaryota; Viridiplantae; Streptophyta; Magnoliopsida; Poales; Poaceae. The record is from Rfam.
CUUAUACAUCCUCCGUCCGAAAAAGCUUGUCCCUCAAAUGAAUGUAUCUAGCACCUAAAUUAGUGCUAGAUACAUCCAUUUGAGGAACAAGCUUGGGACAAACUUUUUUCGGACAGAGGGAGUAUUAU